GAACACCUUAAACUUCCUCUUCAUUGUCACUAGAUUCACAGCAGCUACUUUGACACAAGUAUCCAUCCUGACAGUUCAUAUAUAGUUAGUCACAUGGAGUGUGAAUCUAAUUCAAAAAAAGGAUGAGUAAGCACGAUAUCUACUACUCUCUCUCUUUGAGUUGAACGUGUAUAAGUCGCUAUGAAAAAAAGGUUUCUUAGGCCCUGUUUGAGAUUGAUUUUUUAGGGCUUAUCUAGCUGCUUUGACACAAGUAUUCAUACUG
RNAcentral lists this long non-coding RNA (262 nucleotides) under Actinidia chinensis (golden kiwifruit). RNAcentral describes it as "long non-coding RNA (ACHI_LNC000663)". The record is from RNAcentral. Lineage: Eukaryota; Viridiplantae; Streptophyta; Magnoliopsida; Ericales; Actinidiaceae.